AGUGAACGCUGGCGGUAGGCCUAACACAUGCAAGUCGAACGGCAGCACAGUAAGAGCUUGCUCUUACGGGUGGCGAGUGGCGGACGGGUGAGGAAUACAUCGGAAUCUACUUUUUCGUGGGGGAUAACGUAGGGAAACUUACGCUAAUACCGCAUACGACCUACGGGCGAAAGCAGGGGAUCUUCGGACCUUGCGCGGUUGAAUGAGCCGAUGUCGGAUUAGCUAGUUGGCGGGGUAAAGGCCCACCAAGGCGACGAUCCGUAGCUGGUCUGAGAGGAUGAUCAGCCACACUGGAACUGAGACACGGUCCAGACUCCUACGGGAGGCAGCAGUGGGGAAUAUUGGACAAUGGGCGCAAGCCUGAUCCAGCCAUACCGCGUGGGUGAAGAAGGCCUUCGGGUUGUAAAGCCCUUUUGUUGGGAAAGAAAAGCAGCAGGUUAAUACCCCGCUGUUCUGACGGUACCCAAAGAAUAAGCACCGGCUAACUUCGU
This 491-nucleotide ribosomal RNA is filed under the name uncultured bacterium. RNAcentral describes it as "partial 16S ribosomal RNA". It matches the Rfam family "Bacterial small subunit ribosomal RNA", at positions 29 to 506 of the family's 1533-position model. The record is from RNAcentral.